UCUUACGGGAGGCAGCAGUAGGGAAUCUUCCGCAAUGGACGAAAGUCUGACGGAGCAACGCCGCGUGAGUGAUGAAGGCUUUCGGGUCGUAAAACUCUGUUGUUAGGGAAGAACAAGUGCUAGUUGAAUAAGCUGGCACCUUGACGGUACCUAACCAGAAAGCCACGGCUAACUACGUGCCAGCAGCCGCGGUAAUACGUAGGUGGCAAGCGUUAUCCGGAAUUAUUGGGCGUAAAGCGCGCGCAGGUGGUUUCUUAAGUCUGAUGUGAAAGCCCACGGCUCAACCGUGGAGGGUCAUUGGAAACUGGGAGACUUGAGUGCAGAAGAGGAAAGUGGAAUUCCAUGUGUAGCGGUGAAAUGCGUAGAGAUAUGGAGGAACACCAGUGGCGAAGGCGACUUUCUGGUCUGUAACUGACACUGAGGCGCGAAAGCGUGGGGAGCAAACAGGAUUAGAUACCCUGGUAGUCCACGCCGUAAACGAUGAGUGCUAAGUGUUAGAGGGUUUCCGCCCUUUAGUGCUGAAGUUAACGCAUUAAGCACUCCGCCUGGGGAGUACGGCCGCAAGGCUGAAACUCAAAGGAAUU
RNAcentral lists this ribosomal RNA (584 nucleotides) under uncultured bacterium. RNAcentral's name for it is "bacterial SSU rRNA". It matches the Rfam family "Bacterial small subunit ribosomal RNA", at positions 337 to 911 of the family's 1533-position model. The record is from RNAcentral.